Molecule: ribosomal RNA, 322 nt
Filed under: uncultured eukaryote
Lineage: Eukaryota
Description: partial 18S ribosomal RNA
Rfam family: Eukaryotic small subunit ribosomal RNA
Source: RNAcentral
CCCUUAGAUGUUCUGGGCCGCACACGCGCUACACUGAAGGAGGCAGCGUGUACUCCUGGAUCGAAAGAUUUGGGUAACCCGCGAAUCUCCUUCGUGCUAGGGAUUGAGGUUUGCAAUUAUCCUUCAUGAACGAGGAAUUCCCAGUAAGUGCAAGUCAUAAGCUUGCGCUGACUACGUCCCUGCCCUUUGUACACACCGCCCGUCGCUACUACCGAUUGAGUGCUCAGGUGAAUAAUUCGGACUGCAGCAGUGUUUGGAUCCCGAACGCUGCAGCGGAAAGUUUAGUGAACCUUAUCACUUAGAGGAAGGAGAAGUCGUANCA